This 2694-nucleotide long non-coding RNA is filed under the name Bos grunniens (domestic yak). RNAcentral's name for it is "lncRNA (ENSBGRG00000017542.1)". Lineage: Eukaryota; Metazoa; Chordata; Mammalia; Artiodactyla; Bovidae. The record is from RNAcentral.
AUGUCAGGCUCCAGAUAUACUCACUCAUUCAGUCAUCAUGACAACACCAGUGUGCCCAUUGUCCAGGCAGAAAGGUAUACAAACUUGCCCACAGACCCACAGCUAGCAAGUGGCAGCAUCAAAAUGAAGACAAGAGAUCUGGUUAAUCCUUCAAGUCACUUGGUGAAUGUGGUCACCAUUCAUCUUGGCACUCUAGCUGGAACCUUCAGGAUUUCCCCCUUCCUGCUCUCUCUUAUUACCACCACUAAACGGGCCAAGUCUCCCGAGUGACUUCUCUUCCUUAUUCCUCUCCAUUCUCACAUUCUCACCUUGGCCCAAGUCCAAAUCGGCUUUUUUUUUUUUUUCUUUUGGUUUUUUAUUGAGGUGAAAUUUACACAAAAUCCAAUUAGCCAUUUUUAAAGUGUACUCUUCAGUGGCAUUUAGUACAUUCACAGUGUUGUACAAUCAUUACCGUGAUCUAGUUCUCAAACAGUUUUACCAUCCCAAGAGGAAAAUCAGUAGUACGACUAAGUAAUCUCUCCUCAUUCUCCCUCUCUUCCUCCAACCCCUGGAAACCACUCAUGCAUUUUCUGUCUCUAUGGAUUUACCUAUUCUGGAUGUUUCCUGUAAAUGGAACUGUAUAAUAUGUGACCUAAUGUUUUCAGGAUUCACCCAUGCUGUAGCAUGAAUCAGUGCUUCAUUCCCUUUAAUGGCCAAACAAUGUUCCAUUGUACAGCUAGACCACAUUUUGUUUAUUCAUUCAUCUGUUCAUGGACAUCCAGGUUGCUUUCCCUGUCUGGGCAUUGUAAACAGAGCAGCAAUGAACAGUCACGUACAAGAAUGUUUUUGAAUAUCUGCUUUCAAUUCUUUUGAAACAUAUACCUCGGAGUAGAAUUGCAUCUUUUAAGCAUCUCCCUAGGAGUGGGAUUACUGAGUCAUGUGGUAACUCUAAGGUUUACCUCUUUGAUGAGCCCCUCAUAGGCAUUUGAAUGGACUCAUGUGCUAGGAUAGUCUCCCUACUUGCAGCCUCCCGUUCUCUAACCCCUUCUGCUCAUUGCCAGCAGAAGUUUAUUGAUGCCAUUCCAUGGCUUAUAAACCUUUAAGAGUUACCCAGUAUGUGAAAUGAUAAUCCUAAAGAUUUAUGCAUAGGUCUUAUCUCUUGUAUAGCAUGUAAAUUCCAUGAGAGCCAAAAUCAUAUUGUGUUUACAUUGCCGAUCAUAAUGCUUUGAACAUAGUGAACAUUUAAAGGAUGCUUGAUGAAGGAAGGACUGAAUGAGGGAAUAAAGCCAGAGGGAAUGAAUAUAGUCACAUCUGAGAUGUGAGCAUCUCUUUCGCCUGAUUUAGGACUCCAGCUGAACGUGAAUUAAUGGCUUGAUCAUAGAGACUGGUAUCUGGAGGCAAAUCCCAAAAGCAAAGCAUACUUGACUAGCUGUGUGACUUUGGGCAAGUGACUUAAACUUGUGCCUCAGCUGCCUCAUCUGCAAAAUGCAAAUAAUCUAGGUUUGCUUUGAGUAUAAAAAGGAACUAAUAUUUAUGAUGCUCUUAUAAUGCCUGGCAUAUGGUCAGUAGUUUAGAGAGCUUGUUAAAUAAAAUAAGUAAAAUAAAUGAGCUAACACUAUAAGCAAAUGAAACUGCUUAAGACAGUAGGAUGAACACAGGGUUCUGUGAGCUGCAAAGUAAAGGCAGUUAGGCCCACAGACCAAACUGUCUACCUGAAUUCACAUGCAAUAUAGGUGGUGUUGAUUUACUAUGCGUUAUUCUCUCACUUGAUUAGAUUUGGAGGUCUGCAAUCAUCAUGGGGAAGCACUUUUGGUCUCAUCCUGGUAUUCCACCUCACCCAGUGUUGUCAUGGGGAAGAUAACUGAUAACUAUUGGUUGAUUUGACUUCCCUAGGAAAAUAAAGUGAUUAGCCAUAACCGACAAUGGCUGACUUUAAAAUCAACUGUGAAGCUACAUAUAAACAGCUAACAAAAUUCAGCAUAUUGCUAAGUCAAUGAGAGUAAAGUACCUAAGGAUAAGAACAUUUCCAAACUGUUUACUUCUGAAUGUAAUCUAUUCAUUUCAGUUUCUUUAAUAGACUUUAAAGGGCUAGCUAAGUGGGUUCUCACAAGUACUAGAGGCAUCACUCACAUUCAGUGACUGUCUUUCUGCUACCCUUAUUUUCAACAGGCUUCUUAGAUAUAUAUAGAGAGAAGGCCUAGAAAUAGGCCUUCUCAAUUUGAAUAAACUCAAUUAUCCAGGGUUUUUUUUUUUCCCAUACUUGCCAUUGCAUAACCUCCCAACAACACCUGGUUUACUCUUGUAUUUAGAGUGCUGAUGAAUCUUAGAGAUGUAUGUUUUCAUGUAUCCACCUUCAUUUGUAAAUUUUUAGGGUGCAAAACACACAAAGCAAACUAAAACGUUCUAAAGAGCACACGCAUUCCCUCGUGCACAGUGCAGAAACUUUACCUACUGAUACAUGUGUGGUUUGGUUCCCUGGUGAUUUCAGAAGGCUCCUCCAUCCCCAAAUCGGGUGGAGCCUUUCUUCCCACGUUAAUAAACAAAGUUUGAACCAAUGCCAAUGGUUUUGAGAAAGUUUAUUUUUUAAUUAAACAGUUUAUUUUGAGAGAAUUGUAGAUUCAUGUUCAGAUAGCAGAAAUAAUACAGAGCCUUUUUGUACCCUGCACCUAGCCUCCCCCAAUGGUAACAUCUUGCAUACAAUGUCACAACCAGGAA